UAGAAGAAGACAGCAGACCAGCGCGGCAACUGUUGAAAUGUUCCUUUUGUCAGCAGGAGCAUUACGUAACUGCCAGAAGAAGAGAUGGCAGAUGGAAUGACUUUCAAUCAAGGAGCAUUACAUAACUGCCAGAAGAGGAGAUAGCAGAUGGAAUGACUUUUAAUCAAGGAAAGGACGCUCAGCGGGGACUCAGCUUGAUGUCCGACCUGAAGCCCGGGCGCCUGCUGCUUGUUUGCAGGGGGCCCGAUCCGGCCAUGACCCCUGUAAUGGUUUCUGUGGUUGGAACCACUUCCAUAGUCACAUGAGAACCAGACCCGGACCACGUUCUUUUUAAGGUCCAGCUUCUCGGCGAUGGCGGCGAUCUUCUCCGAGGAGGGCCGAGGCUGCACGGCGAAGUAGGCCUCCAAGGAGCGCUUCUCCGGGGCGGCGAUGGACGUGCGUUUCCGCUUCUU
Long non-coding RNA from Nerophis lumbriciformis (worm pipefish), 452 nucleotides. RefSeq lists it as uncharacterized. NCBI's taxonomy places the organism in Eukaryota, Metazoa, Chordata, Actinopteri, Syngnathiformes, Syngnathidae. The record is from RefSeq and is a predicted model, not a curated record.